Oryza brachyantha (malo sina) is the source of this 1717-nucleotide long non-coding RNA. RefSeq lists it as uncharacterized. NCBI's taxonomy places the organism in Eukaryota, Viridiplantae, Streptophyta, Magnoliopsida, Poales, Poaceae. The transcript is spliced from 3 exons. The record is from RefSeq and is a predicted model, not a curated record.
UCGUCCGGCCCAGCCAGACGGUGGCCUUGGCAGGCGGCACUGCAGCUUCGAUCCGGGCGGCGCGGCAUCAGCUCCGGCGCGCCGUGGGAGGGAAGAGCGGCGACCCGACGAGCUACAGGAUCCAGGCCACGCCGAGGCUGUCUCGCUCUACGUUAACCAUGAUUUCGUGUGCUAUGUUUUGUCGCAGCGGGAGGAGGUGGUGGUGGAGCUCGAGAGGGGGGGACCUCAAGGUGUUCGACGAUUUGCUCAAGUGGGCGUCGCGCGUGGAGAAACAUCAAACUUCCACAUGGUUUUUGGGCUAGCCAUGGUAGAAGACUGAAGGUUGGUUUCAUGAGACUGGCUGCAGUACUGAAGAAUCAAAUUAAAGUGAAUACUUCAGUGUGUUUCUUGCGACGCACUGCGUUACACGUUGAUUCCAGGGGAUCCUCUGAAGGCGUGGUGCACCACUGCUUUGACAUACAGCAACGCGCUUGAUGCCGAGCGGGUACCGUCAUCCUGUCGAGGCAUCGUGCGUGCAGUUCGUCAUCGAAUCAAUCCAAGGAGCCAAGAGCAUUGAAUACCCCUUGAGAAUGUGAGGAGUCAAGGGCUGAUCAAACACCAGAAUCAUAAGAUUCUGGGCUCUGGAGCAGUGGAGAUUGCUCUACAGAGCACUAGCUUUUUCUUUCCCCUCUCUUGUUUUACCAGGUGAGAGCUGUCAAGGGAGAUAUAGAGGAUAAGGAUAUCAUUCUCUUGUCCUUGUGCUGGAUGUUUGCGUCAUGCAUUAAAAUAUAUAUAAAAAAUAAAAUAAAAUGUCAGAUAAUAUCGUACUUUCUGCUGAUGCCUUCAGCAUCAUACAGGUAGCAACAGUGACAUCGCAUCUUUUCCUCUCACUCUCUCUCUAACCUUGUUAGCUUUAGCCCUUAGAGAAGUUUUGCAGGAGGAAUUCAGCGAGGAUAUUGAAAAGCAAGAUUGCACCGUCGGAUUUCGGCAUCGCAGCGCCUCAUAUCUGAUAAGGUCAGGCCGAUGAUGAUGUGGUUUGCAAAGCAGAGGCAGCUAAAUCUUCAGGAAAAAAAAAGCAGGCAAGUUGGACAUAUUCCGUGCCACCGAUAAGGUAGAGAGAGCGAGCUGUGCAUGCUGGAUGCUAUUCUGAACCUGAGGGCACUGAUCCCUGGUUACUUCGAAAGCAACUCGAUCAGCUGGCUGGAAUCAGUUCCAUGUGUCGCAAGAUGGAGCGUGGCGGCCGUACCGUCUCAGUAUUGGCCGUCGCCGUCGGUUAUUGUCGUCGUUCGCCGACAAAUUCUCUGUAGAAAUGUGCUUGGAGUUGAAGAGUAGCUAAGCUGGCACCAUGGUAUUUUCAGGCCGAAGUAUAGGCAUGCACUGGUAUAGUACUGGUAUCACACUGUAUCUGGUCUCACCAAUGCAAAUUUGCAAUCUAGGACUUUCAGUCAUCUAGCUAGCACAUGCAUUGCAAGGUUGUGCUUCCAUAUCUUUGUCACUGUAGGCAUAUAUUUGUGCAUUACUCAUCCUGAUCAUUGACUCAAUAUGUGAUCUGAUCAAGAAACAGAAAAGGGGAGAUACUGAUAUAUGGAAUAUAUCUUGUAUAUGAUGAUUGUGUUACUCUACUAAGCUUUGUGCUUGUAGAAAUACCAAGCAAUUGGUGUGCUGCUGUAAUUGGUCAAAAGGAUUAUACUCCACAUGUAUGAUUGUACCUAACUGAUCACAGUACUUUCUUCAGUCA